UACGUAGGGGGCAAGCGUUGUCCGGAUUUACUGGGCGUAAAGAGCGCGCAGGCGGUCGUUCAAGUCGCGUGUGAAAGCCCCCGGCUCAACUGGGGAGGGUCACGCGAUACUGAUCGACUCGAAGGCAGGAGAGGGAAGUGGAAUUCCCGGUGUAGUGGUGAAAUGCGUAGAUAUCGGGAGGGAACACCAGUGGCGAAGGCGGCCACCUGGACAACAACUGACGCUGAGACGCGAAAGCGUGGGUAGCAAACAGGG
Molecule: ribosomal RNA, 255 nt
Filed under: uncultured bacterium
Lineage: Bacteria
Description: partial 16S ribosomal RNA
Rfam family: Bacterial small subunit ribosomal RNA
Source: RNAcentral